RNAcentral lists this ribosomal RNA (119 nucleotides) under Poecilia latipinna (sailfin molly). Lineage: Eukaryota; Metazoa; Chordata; Actinopteri; Cyprinodontiformes; Poeciliidae. The record is from RNAcentral.
GCUUACGGCCACACUACCUUGAGAACGCCCGAUCUCGUCUGAUCUCGGAAGCUAAGCAGGGUCGGGCCUGGUUAGUACUUGGAUGGGAGACCGCCUGGGAAUACCAGGUGCUGUAAGCA